RNAcentral lists this unclassified non-coding RNA (220 nucleotides) under uncultured Tomentella. RNAcentral describes it as "sequence contains ITS2". The record is from RNAcentral. Lineage: Eukaryota; Fungi; Basidiomycota; Agaricomycetes; Thelephorales; Thelephoraceae.
ACACCUCAACUCUUCAUGGUUUUCCAUGAUGAGCUUGGACUUUGGGGGACUUGCUGGCCUACAGUCAGCUCCUCUAAAAUAAAUCAGCUUGCCAGUGUUUGGUGGGUAUCGCAGGUGUGAUAACUAUCUACGCUUGUGGUUUUCCACCAAGUAACCUUCAGCGAUGGAGGUUCGCUGGAGCUCACAGAUGUCUCUCCUCAGUGAGGACAGCCCUUUGAAU